CGGACGGGUGAGUAACGCGUGGAUAACCUGCCGUAUGCAGGGGGAUAACAGUUGGAAACAGCUGCUAAUACCGCAUAAGCGCACAGUACCGCAUGGUACGGUGUGAAAAGAUUUAUCGGCAUACGAUGGAUCCGCAUCCGAUUAGCCAGUUGGCGGGGUAACGGCCCACCAAAGCGACGAUCGGUAGCCGGCCUGAGAGGGCGGACGGCCACAUUGGGACUGAGACACGGCCCAAACUCCUACGGAAGGCAGCAG
Molecule: ribosomal RNA, 255 nt
Filed under: uncultured bacterium
Lineage: Bacteria
Description: partial 16S ribosomal RNA
Rfam family: Bacterial small subunit ribosomal RNA
Source: RNAcentral